This 254-nucleotide ribosomal RNA is filed under the name uncultured bacterium. RNAcentral describes it as "partial 16S ribosomal RNA". It matches the Rfam family "Bacterial small subunit ribosomal RNA", at positions 524 to 776 of the family's 1533-position model. The record is from RNAcentral.
UACGUAGGGUGCGAGCGUUGUCCGGAAUUAUUGGGCGUAAAGAGCUCGUAGGCGGUGUGUCGCGUCGGUCGUGAAAACUUGGGGCUUAACCCUGAGCUUGCGGUCGAUACGGGCAUCACUUGAGUUCGGCAGGGGAGACUGGAACUCCUGGUGUAGCGGUGAAAUGCGCAGAUAUCAGGAAGAACACCGGUGGCGAAGGCGGGUCUCUGGGCCGAUACUGACGCUGAGGAGCGAAAGCGUGGGGAGCAAACAGG